Molecule: long non-coding RNA, 949 nt
Filed under: Marmota monax (woodchuck)
Lineage: Eukaryota; Metazoa; Chordata; Mammalia; Rodentia; Sciuridae
Source: RNAcentral
UGCCAAGAACGUGAACCUGAAGGGGAGCGAGGCCUGACUGCACCGUGCCAUCCCCGACUCCAGAAAGGUGUCCGGCGAGUAGUAGGUACUCCGUGGCUGUGAGCAGACAGAGCAAAAGGAGAGCCGGCAGCUGCCGCCCGAGUUGGACGCGGUUCUCGGCCCACAGUCAGCUGCUGUCACCGACAGGCGGAACAGCCCGGAACUGGAAGCUCUGCCCAUUGGGGUCCUCACGGGGCUCAGGAAAUGCUCCGCCCCAAGGACUCAGGGCCAAGCCAGCACAGAACUUGCCUAACACCCAGAGGGUCCAGGCCGGGCACCCUGGGGCCAAGCCUGCAGUGCAUAAAGGGUGGCGUCCAUGGAGCUCUGUCCUGGACUGGUCGCCUGAGCCGUGGAAUGUUCUGUUCUGCACCGUCCUCUUCUUGUGUUCUGUGGCCUCUCCCCUGCGCUCCUGAGCCCUUGAAAUGCAGCCAGGGCCCCUGAGCAGCAGAAGCACCAAGACAGCGUUAAGUUUAGUUUAGUUGAAACUGAAAUUGAGAUGACCGCCAUGUGGCUUCUGCUACUGUAUUAACCAGCUCAGCCGGGAAUUCCCUGACUGUUGUUUUUCGAUGCUGCAGGUCACACCCAGGGAUUAGGUGAGUGCCCUACCUCCCACUUCACCCCCAGACCUGGAGCCAGCAUUAACCACAGCCUUGAACCCUGAGAAGGGAAAGCAGAGGGAGUGCUGGCAGCUGGAAGUUUGCUGGGACUUCCAGCUGCCAGCAGGGAGGAAGCCUUCCAGGCAGAAGCAACUGCAAGUGCAAAGGUCCUGGGGUGAGUGGGGAACCCAAUAAAGACUAGUGUGGAAACUAGGGGAAGUCACCAGGGGCAGAGCUUCCUGCCGUGCGGUCACAAGAAGAACGGGGCUUCUGUCCUCCUGCCAGAUCUACCCCUUCCUUCCUCGAGAUGCCGG